RNAcentral lists this small nucleolar RNA (137 nucleotides) under Pogona vitticeps (central bearded dragon). RNAcentral's name for it is "Small nucleolar RNA SNORA38 (ENSPVIG00000012294.1)". The record is from RNAcentral. Lineage: Eukaryota; Metazoa; Chordata; Lepidosauria; Squamata; Agamidae.
GCCUCCUACAAAGGCGUGCCUGUACUUUUCUGUGUGUGGGUGCGUAAGAACCGGAGGUAGAUCAAUUGGGGCAGAAUCUGUUCUGUACAGGGCAGGUAAUUAUGCUGCCUUGUUCCCAGGUUUUCUGUCCAACAGGA